GACGAACGCUGGCGGCGUGCUUAACACAUGCAAGUCGAACGAAGUGGCGAACGGGUGAGUAAUACGUGGGUAACCUGCCCUCCUUUUUGGGAUAAGCCUUGGAAACGGGGUCUAAUACCGAAUAAGGGGGAUGGGCUCGCGGCCUAUCAGCUUGUUGGUGGGGUGAUGGCCUACCAAGGCGGUGACGGGUAGCCGGUCUGAGAGGAUGAACGGCCACAUUGGGACUGAGACACGGCCCAGACUCCUACGGGAGGCAGCAGUGGGGAAUCUUCCGCAAUGGACGAAAGUCUGACGGAGCAACGCCGCGUGAGUGAUGACGGCCUUCGGGUUGUAAAGCUCUGUUAAUCGGGACGCGGUACCGGAAUAGAAAGCCACGGCUAACUACGUGCCAGCAGCCGCGGUAAUAC
RNAcentral lists this ribosomal RNA (407 nucleotides) under uncultured bacterium. Its description in RNAcentral is "partial 16S ribosomal RNA". It matches the Rfam family "Bacterial small subunit ribosomal RNA", at positions 28 to 526 of the family's 1533-position model. The record is from RNAcentral.